GGCUGGGGGUGCCGCAAGCCCUUGGCCUUUUGCGGGGAGGCCCAGGACACGGACGACGCCCCCGUCGUGUUUGAGCCCGCCGCCACAGUCGCCCCCACCGAGGGUGUCAAGGACAACGAUGGGACCUGAUCGCCGACGCGAGCGGCUGCAACGGUGCAGCAGGUGCCCGCGGCGGGGGAGGUGGCGCAGGAAGCUCCCUAGAAACAGUGGAACCUGCGGGAGCGGACGUCGUGGAGGGAUUAUAGUAACAGAGCGGACGACUUGCGUGCACGGCAGGCCAGAGAGCGCGGAUGCCGGCGGCAGCCACCUGUUGUCGCUGUCGGUGAAGCUGACUCGGUAGGAGAUCGACGCCGACUUCGCCAAGAUCACCGGCAGCAAGGCGCCGCGCCGGCCCAUGAAGUGGAGCAAGACCGUCCAGCGCAAAAUCAAGACGCUUUGCCUAGGGAGUUUGCUGGUGCAGGUGACCCUCGACCGGUACAAGGUGAACGAGAAAGGAAGAUUUUGAUUUCUUCAGUCGCGCGAACAAGAAAGGGGGGAGAGGAAGAGGAGGAGAUGGAUUUCACAACGGAGGAGAUUGAUCGAGCAAUGUCUGCCUCCUCAUCUCGUGAUGCAUCAAUGCUUACCACAAGGAUGGCUGGCGAUUCUUCUGACGGGGCCAACAUUAUUUCUUUAAGAGAAAAUAUAAAUAGAGAACAACAGAUGAACAUGGGAAACCAGUGAGUGGAAGCUAUGUUUUCCUGUGUAAUACCUUCCACAACGACUCUCUAUUCACCAACCUGGGGAGGGGCGAGGGAGUGCACUUGCUCUCCAUUGAGAUUAGGGGGUUAGGGUUCAUAGAUAAAUAUUUUGCCUGAUAUAUUCUAUUCACAUCAAGAGUUCGAGUCAUAGUAUAAUUCACCCACACUUUUCUAUUUACCCCUUCCAAUGUUUUAUUUAUGUUAUUCAAUUAGUACUUGCAUGUCGUCACUGAAGUGCAAUACAAUAUAUAUACUAGAAGCACAUGUUCUGUAGUUAUGUGAAACUAUAUUAUCAUACAUUAAUUAUUUUACAUGAUUAUAUUUUAAUUUCUCGUGCUAAAAAAUGGGUAAUAAAUACCUGUAGUUAUGUGUUCUCUUCAUGGUUUGUGAAGCUCACUUAGUAUUUUUUCCAAAAAAGAAAUAUCAAGAGAUGUCAGUAUUGCUCUUGAUUAAUAAAUAUUGCUCAUGUAGUUUGUUUUUUUAGAAUUUGAUAGUAAUAGUCUAAAUAACAUAUGUACAACUAUAGCAUUGAGAAGUAUCUAUAUCAUCCUAUUUUAGACAACAUGACCAGGUGUGUGAAACAAAUUAAAUGUUUCUUCCAUUUCUACCUUCAUGAUUCAGUAUUGUGCAUAUUGUCCUCCAUAUGUUCCAAAUUACAUGCUGUUUUAGCUUUUCUAGAUACAUAGUUUUCUUAUACACCUAGCUACAUACAUAGCAAAAGCUAAAACGGUUUGUAGGCACCAUGUAGUCCUUUCAUUUGGUCGGUUUGUAGGCGUCUUCCAAAAGUACUGUCACAUCUACCACUAGAAUCGGCUUCUCACUAGCUUCUCACCAGGGGUUUGACUUUGUAACACAGGAGAUAUAGUGUGCUCUUCUGGAACUUCAUCCCCAACAUCAUCCUCACUAUGAUCUUGUGCAGUACUUGGCACUUCAGUGACGGCUUCAAAUACAGCAUUAUCUCCUAGAUUGUGACUCUGUUUUGGGGUCGUGGGUAUAUCAGUUUGCAUAUUAUCUGGAGCCUUCCGAGGCAACUCUUUUAUUAUAGCAUCAGAAUGUAAGGUUUCUAUCUCUGUGGGUAGAUUAUUGACUGACGCUUCCUUUUGAGUGUAGGCUUGCUCAAUGUCGCCCACUUGCUGAGAUGACUCUUCAGAUACAGAUGCAGCUUCUGCACCUUCCCCAAUUUGAUUCACAUGGACAAUUAGCUCAGCAUCAAUAUUUCCUGCUUUCUCAAGCCUGUCAACUUCACUGAUAAAUGUCAACUUCCAUGGAAUCCUUAGGAGCUUCGGACAUAUUCAAACCUAGAGGAAAGACAUGAUCACAUGGCAGCAACAAUCAUUUACUUUUGUGGAAGUUGUAGAGUAGCUUUAUUAAAUACUCCGUCCAUUUAUUUUUCUAAAGUGUAUUUGGAUUCAAAAAAAAGAAUGUAGAGUAUACUUUGACUAUCAGUUACUCUCAUGUAAUAUGCCAUAUAUUGUAGUAAAACCAACUUGUGUUGAACUAUAUGGUGAAUGUGAAUUCGUUGAUACUAUGUCCUAAUCAUGAAUAUAACUAGAGUUGAUUUACAAUGGGGUACUACAUGUUACCUUCUCUGUGGUACGGGAGUAAUAUAUAGUGACGCUAAAGUAUGAGAGUUUCGAGUUUUUUUAUUAAUGUAGCACCCCAUUUUUGUUGG
Molecule: long non-coding RNA, 2409 nt
Organism: Zea mays
Lineage: Eukaryota; Viridiplantae; Streptophyta; Magnoliopsida; Poales; Poaceae
Exons: 5
Source: RefSeq, a predicted model, not a curated record